AGGCAGCAGUGGGGAAUCUUGCACAAUGGAGGAAACUCUGAUGCAGCGAUGCCGCGUGAGUGAAGAAGGCCCUUGGGUUGUAAAGCUCUUUCGUCGGGGAAGAAA
RNAcentral lists this ribosomal RNA (105 nucleotides) under uncultured bacterium. RNAcentral describes it as "partial 16S ribosomal RNA". It matches the Rfam family "Bacterial small subunit ribosomal RNA", at positions 346 to 450 of the family's 1533-position model. The record is from RNAcentral.